CCACAAGGGGUGAAGCUUGCGGUUUAAUUGGAGUCAACGCCGGAAAUCUCACCGGGAGCGACAGCAGAAUGAAGGCCAGAUUAAAGGUCUUGCCAGACAAGCUGAGAGGAGGUGCAUGGCCGUCGCCAGUUCGUGCCGUGAGGUGUCCUGUUGAGUCAGGCAACGAUCGAGACCCGCAUCCUCUGUUGCAACUAGCUUUGAGCUGGGCACACUGAGGAGACCGCCACUGAUAAAGUGGAGGAAGGAGCGGGCCACGGCAGGUCAGUAUGCCCCGAAUCUCCCGGGCCACACGCGAGCUGCAAUGGCAGGUACAAUGAGUUCCGACCUCGAAAGGGGAAGGCAAUCCCGAAAGCCUGCCGUAGUUGGGAUCGAGGGCUGUAACCCGUCCUCGUGAACAUGGAAUCCCUAGUAAUCGCGUGUCAUUAGCGCGCGGUGAAUACGUCCCUGCUCCUUGC
This 455-nucleotide ribosomal RNA is filed under the name uncultured archaeon. RNAcentral describes it as "bacterial SSU rRNA". It matches the Rfam family "Archaeal small subunit ribosomal RNA", at positions 879 to 1340 of the family's 1478-position model. The record is from RNAcentral.